CCGGGGAUUGCCUCAGUAACGGCGAGUGAAGCGGCAACAGCUCAAAUUUGAAAUCUGGCUCCUUCGGGGCCCGAGUUGUAAUUUGCAGAGGAUGCGUCGGGUACGGGUGCCUUCCGAGUUCCCUGGAACGGGACGCCAUAGAGGGUGAGAGCCCCGUCUGGUAGGACACCCAGCCCGUGUGACGCUCCCUCGACGAGUCGAGUAGUUUGGGAAUGCUGCUCUAACGGGAGGUAUACUCCUUCCAAGGCUAAAUACCGGCUGGAGACCGAUAGCGCACAAGUAGAGUGAUCGAAAGAUGAAAAGCACUUUGAAAAGAGAGUCAAACAGCACGUGAAAUUGUUAAAAGGGAAGCGCUCGCUACCAGACUUGGGUUCGGCGGUUCAACCGGGGCCACGCCCCGGGGCAUUCCGCCGGCCCAGGCCAGCAUCAGCUUUCCGUCGGGGGUAAAGGCGUCGGGAAUGUGGCUCCCCUUCGGGGGAGUGUUAUAGCCCGUCGUGUCAUACCCUUCGGGGGGCUGAGGUACGCGCUUCUGCAAGGAUGCUGGCGUAAUGGUAGCUAGUGACCCGUCUUGAAACACGGACCAAGGAGUCAACCUUAUGUGCGAGUGCCCGGGCGUAAAACCCCAGCGCGGAAUGAAAGUGAACGUAGGUGAGAGCUUCGGCGCAUCACCGACCGAUCCUGAUGUCCUCGGACGGAUUUGAGUGAGAGCAUAUAGGGUUGGACCCGAAAGAAGAUGAACUAUGCGUGUGUAGGGUGAAGCCAGAGGAAACUCUGGUGGAGGCUCGCAGCGGUUCUGACGUGCAAAUCGAUCGUCAAACAUGCGCAUGGGGGGCGAAAGACUAAUCGAAUCUUCUGGUAGCUGGUUUCCGCCGAGUCUCCUCCCCGGAGAGAAAAAAGAGGGGGAAGUGAAACAUCUCAAAUAGGAAUGCUUAUUUACU
This 938-nucleotide ribosomal RNA is filed under the name Plectosphaerella cucumerina. RNAcentral describes it as "partial large subunit ribosomal RNA". It matches the Rfam family "Eukaryotic large subunit ribosomal RNA", at positions 68 to 1029 of the family's 3401-position model. Lineage: Eukaryota; Fungi; Ascomycota; Sordariomycetes; Glomerellales; Plectosphaerellaceae. The record is from RNAcentral.